UUUUUUUUUUUUUUUUUUGGUUACUUUUUUGGCCAUAGGAACCAAAUGACCGUGGAUAUAAGUUCCCUUUCAAUUCCCACCCAGAGUGCAUUAUUGAAAUGGCCCAGUAAGUUCAUUGUUGCAUUAGAAUGUUGGUGCGUAGACUUGGUCAAUCUGAGAUAAGAAAGAGAAACACACGGGGUAGACUGACAAAGGAGAGGGACAUCCUUUGUUUUGGUCAUUAUGCAAAUGCUCUGCUUUAGUCAUGUCUUUUACACCUUUUAUAGUCUGCUUUUUUUUCUUUUUAUUCCUUUUUAAUCAAAUCCUCUCUUACAAGUCUGUCUACUAGCGAGAAGAAAGCAGAAAAAGUUACCAAACAACUUGUGUAAUUAUUUUUCAAUGCCAACCCAACUGAUAAAUGUAAGCUGUAAUUUUUGGGGUUAGAUGCUGAGAAAUUGAAUUCCAGCUCCCCUUUAUGUCUUUUCUCUUUCUUGAUGGAAUUGAAUUCUAUCUUAGACGGUGAGUUCGCAUUCCUGUGAUCUUUUGUAGAUAUUCAAGAACAUUGAAAAUCAUCCCACAACUUUUUGCACAAGAAAUCAUCUCACAAAUUUUUGUUAAUUGUUUGAUAGUCAGUUAAUAACUCUCAAACAAUACAAGAUUGAGGAGACAUCAAGCCUCACUACCAUAACCAAAUUGAAUAUAGUCACUCGUAUACUUGCAUUGAGCCAACGACCUAUAGACCAAAAGUUAUGUGCAAUUCCUGAGGAUGGCUUUUGUGUCGAGUAGAAGGUGUGCUGAUGAAGUUUUGAUAGUUAAAGGUUGAAAUUUAAAAAAUUAAAGGUGCUGAUUUCAAAUCCCUCACCUCCUUCCUUGUUUUAGAAUUUCCACUCCUCUCUUAUUAGGAAAAAUUAAAAAGCAAAAGUGAAAGUAGGAGUCGGUAUAAAUUAAACUUAUCGUGUUUAAAAUAUGAUAAAAAAAAAUUCAUCAGAACGUGUGCUUUACCCUUUAUCUCUUUCAAAAUCUCUGCUCAAUGAGAUAUUAGGGAUAAAGUUAAAAGUUAGUCAAAUUAAUCUAAAAAAUCUAAAAUGCAUCAAACAAAAUGUGUCUGGCCAUCUACCAUGGAUGACUAUAUGGUUGUCGGUUGCUUUUCAAUCCCACCCGCACUGAAUUUUUAUUUUAUUUUAUUUUUUUUUUGUCAAAACCCACACUGAAUUAUUGAAAUGGCCUGGUAAGUUCAUUAUUGCUUCAGACUUGUGAGCAUAGCAUUGGCCACCACAAAAAUCAAAAUAGAAAGACGCAUGGAUAGAUUCAGUCAUCCCUUGUCUAGUCAAAGUCUUUCACACUUUUCCUUGCUCAGCUUAGUUGUUUUUUCAUACGAGUCUGUAGACUCGUGAAAAGAGGCAAAAAUUUUGGUAGAUCAGAUUUAUGACUCUAUCUGUGUAUUAAGUGGUUUAAAAUUUAUCAUAUCAUCUUAUUAACUCAAGCAUUAUAUGCACGACGAAGAAGAUAUGGCAAAAUUUAGACCAAACUUUUUCCUGAGCAAAGAAAGCUACCAAACACUCAAUGGGUGAAAUUCUAUACCAAUGCUAGUCCAAACAGUAAAUGUAAGCUGUAAUUUUUCAAGGUUAGACUAAAAACACAAAAAUAAAAAAAGCCUAAAAACAAAAACAAAAAACAAAAGACGCGUCUACCAUGGAUGACCGUGGAAAUGGUUGUAAGGUCCAUUUCAAUCCACCAGAGUGAAUUAUUGAAAUGGCCCAGUGAAUUCAGUAUUGCUUCAGACUUCUGAGCACUGCCUCAAUCAAUCUGACAUAAUGGCAAUCCAGUGCAAGUACCGGCCACCGCAAGAUAGAAAUACACAUGGAUCGUACAGGUUUGUCUACUUACGAAAAAGAAAAUAGAUAAAGGUGCCAACAACAAAUGCGUGUAAUUCUUUUUCAAUGCUAGCUUAAUUAGUAAAUGCAAGCUGUAAUUUUUUCAGGGUUAGAUGCUGAGAAAUUGAAUUCCAGCUACCUUUUUUUCUUUUUCUUUUUCUCGAUGAAAUUGAAUUCCAUCUUUGACCGUCAAUUCACAUGCCUUGUUCUUUUAUAGACAUUCAGAAACAUUAAAAAUCAUCCUGUAUUGCUUAAGAAUUUGGGAAUUAAUUAGUACAUAUUACUUAUUAUCUCUUUCAUAUGGAUUUUCUAGCUUUAAGAAGCUAAAUGUGCUAGUACACUUUUCUAAAGCAUUGUGAGCAUAGGAACUUCCAAAGUAAUACGAAACAUUUGCUGACUGUGAAUUUUAGAAGUUUUUUUCAUGUAAAUCAUGUGCAUGGUGAAUAUUACGAAUUACUCCCUCCGUCCCAUUUUAAUAGUCAUGUUUUCUUUUUUCGUCCAUCCCAAAUUAUAAUCCACUUUCCAAUUAAAAAAUGUAAUUGUCUUUUAAUUUCUCUAACAUAUCCUUAUUUAAUGUAAGUUGUUAUUAUUAUAAACUACCUUAUUUAAUAUAGAUUGUUAAUAUUGAAUAUAACAUACCCCAUUUAAUGUAUUUAGAUUUUUCAAAACAUAUCAAUAUAUGAAAAAUCAACUUUAUUUAAUGUAAGGGUAUUUUAGAAAAAUAGUAAUCUAAAAUUGUUUUUUCAACAAAAUUAACUAUUUUUUUAAACUGUGUGAAAAAAAAUUAAAAUUAUCAAAAUGGAACAGAGGGAGUAGUAUUGUUUUCCCCUCUGAUAGGGUGUUAAUUGUUAGUCAUUUUCUUGUUGACUUCCCUCAUUAUUUGUGCCAAAUAUUUUGUUAAUUGUCGGAUUCUAUUUAUAAUUGGCAUUUAGCCAUAAUUGCAGGGGUGGAGUACAAAAUUCUGAAAAGUGAAAGAUGAGACGUGCAAAUAUGCAAAGAGUUACAAGUUGACUCCAAUUGAAGGACAAAAGUUUCCUAUUCUGGUAGUCGUGUGGUGCGUUGGCAGUAGGAAACCAAAAAGGAAGAAGACUCUUUGUAAUUAGUCCCUAGAGAUUCGGAGAGGACAACCAACUAGAGAGGUUGCCUUGAAAAAGGAAAUUCUUUGUUAGGAAGAUAGCUUGGUUCUUUUGUCUUUUGUCCCGUUUCUUCGUUUCUUCAUUUUUGUUUUUUCCGUUUGUUCUAUUAGGACUACUGGAACACAGUUUUAUUAUUCUUCUUGAUUAUUAGAGAAAAGGAGAUGCCUUUGAAAUCGAUUGAAUUGCAUGGAAAUUUUCUUAUGAGACGUGGCUGAGCUCUUCAUAUAAUCAAGGGUCAACGUGAUGACGCAGUUCUGAAUAUCUGUGAGAUCAAAUUAGUUUUCAUAGGUUCCUUAAUUUGUUGAUAUUUGCACGUUUUCUAAUUGAAUUUCUGUGAGAUUAUUUUGUUAAUUGGAUGUCAAAGGUCCGAUAUUCAAGGUGACUUGUUAAUCUCCUGCCAAAUUGAUCAAUUAAAUCCGUACUUGUUUAAUCGAUUAAUAUCAGUGGCAACUAGUGCUUAUAUACACCAGGAGAACGUACGAUCUGAUCUAAAUAACUCUUGUAGCGUGUUAUUGAUUAGGGUUAGGCUUUUCUGAUUCUUAAUGCAAUUAGGAAAUUAACUCCUACGAUCGUACCUAGGGGUGUUUCUUGGUUAGGGGUAAUUAAUGGUCAUACCUUGGUUAUCAAUAAACUAAGGAAAGGCUGAUCGUCAAAACUCGUCGGCAACUAUAACUAACCUAUUGAUAAAUUAAGUAAAUCCCCCUUGCAUCGAUGAUCGGAUGAGCGGACUGUGUCUGAGAAAUUGUAUCCUUAGCUAAACUUUGUCUAUUAUUGAUUUAAUUCCUGUCUACAUUCGUAUUAGUUAAUUGUUUGUUUUUUGUUGAAUUGUUUAAUUGUUCUUAUCUUUAUUCCAAUAAAAACCCCCGCAUCCCGAACUUGGAAAGAAACGAAUUCUCCCCAAUCCCUGAGGAUACGACCCUACUUGCCCUGUUUACGAAUUAAUAAUUCCUUGUGAAUAAGCAAUCACAUUCUGGUAUAUCGGAUUAAGUAAAUUCUUCGGGAACAGGGUGAAUCAAGUAACCCAUUGCACACCUAGAGUCCCUGCUCCAGUACUCAGAAUUGGGUUUUGAUUACUCCGAUUGACAACUAGGUUUAUUUUUAUUAUUGUACAGGCAUCGACAACCUGUCACCCUCUCGUGGCACGGGAGUAUAAAGGGCAAUCCUCUACGUUCAUGUAGUUGAAUAUUAAUGGUUAUAACAUGUUUAAAUUAUAUCCAUUCAUUUAGUUGAAUAAUUCUUUUGACAAAAAAUUAUAAUUUCAUUUAUGAAAUCUACAUUAAUACUAGAAAAUAAAUCAAACGUACCAAAUGUACAGUAGAUCUGAAGAUCUACAGAUCCAAGAAAUAAAUAUUAAUUAUAUUCUGAAAUUGCAACACAUUCCAACUUGACAUCAAUCACCUCAAACUCAAUAAAUAUCUGUGCAUGUUACUUCUAGAUCUUUUAUUAGACUAUUUUAAAUUAAACAUCUAGUUGAGACCUAACAAAAUCUUGAAAGCUAUUAAAUUAAAUAGGGAUUUUAACAUUUUUAAAACAGGGAAACAAAUGACCAGUUUACAUUAGCAAAUAUUUUGCUGCCAUUUUGCCAAAACACUGAUAACAUGUCCAAUUGCAUGCCCCUUUAGCUUUGUAAUUAACUAUUUAUGAACUAAUUUCUUUUUUUUCUUUUUACUUUGUAAUCUUUUUUUUUAGUGUGAGUAAGAGGAUUUGAAUUCAAAAUUUCUCACUUACAUUCCCUUCCCAUGAUCCAAUAAAUUCAUCCCUUCCCCCUUCUUGCUCUGUAAUCAAGUCUUUGUGGACUAGUUUCAUCUUCUUUUGUAUUCUUUUCAAGCUAACCUCUACCAAAACCAGAAACCCAAAAAACUUGCUUCACUUCUCUAUUUGCAAGCCACCUGGGAUACCUCUUAUUACGAAGCAAAAGGAAAGUGUUGGAUAUUUUAAUAAAAAAUAUCACAUGUUUAUUUUGAAUUCAAAUACAGUAAGUUGUUAGAAAAUUGGCUUAAUUUCUUUUAAGCAGGUUUCUUAUUUUGUGUAGAAGUAACUAGUUUCCUAAUUGGUUUUAGUUACUUGAAGUUGUAGCCAAUGAAUUUCCUAUUUUGUUUAGAAUUAGAAGUUAUUUCCUAUUCUGUACAAGUCUAGAAAUUAGAAUUGGUUUCUUAUUGUUAUUUGGAUUUUUAGCCAAAUAAUGUUUCGUAUAAAUAGGUAUCAGAGUUUGGUUGCGAGACUGGGGUGCUCAAAAGUACUUGGAUCCCAACAAAGUGAAUGGUUGGAUCAAAAAUUUGGUUAUUCAAGUUUGGAUUCUGGUUAACUAUUGAGAUCAAGUGGAUUAAUAAUUGUUACAAAUUGAAUAAUUUAAUGGGUGAUAUCUUUGUUUUAAUCGCUUGGCAAGAAGCAUUGACGGUGAAGGAUGGAAAGUCGAAAAGCAUGGAGAUACUUAACGGUGAAUCUAGACAGGUGAUUCAAGAGUCAAGGAAAAAGUGGAGUCCAAUGUUAAUUUUGGACGUAAUCGGUGGAGACUUUCUCACACCUCCAACGGUUGAUAUUACAUCCCGUGGCUUUUAGAUCGAGGUUAUGUUCUUUGGGUGGUGUGGCACGUGUCCCAAAAAAACAAAGAGAUCUAAUUUCCGUGCGUCAAAAAACUCUGACAGUUACGAGUUUUUUAUUUUAGGUGGAGUCUUGGAAACCACACGUGAUGAGACAGUCCUGAGGAUGAGAAGAAAUAUGAUGAUUUUACCACUUAAUUGCCUCAAUGAUUAGGGUUAGAGCUCACAAAAGGGGAUCCCAUGUUGCAAGUGGUGGUGAGAAGUCCUGCAAAGGGAAAUAGUGAAUUGAGCCACCUUCUUACGAGUCAACUAGAGGUUGAACUCCAGGUAACUACACAUGUUUAUUUGCCGAUUGAAUCAAUUUAGAUUGAUGCUAGAAUCAUUGAAAAAACCAAUGCCCGAAGUUGAGAGUAGGGAAGCCAAAGUUAAUCGGCUUAAGGAAUUGUUGGAUGGUAAAAAGUAUCUACUGGUCUUGGAUGAUGUUUGGAAUAAAGAGUCCGCACUAUGGAAUGAGUUUAUUGGGUCUUUGAGGGGUACUAGCCAAGCCAUGAGGAGCUGGAUUCUUGUGACCACUCGUGACCAACAAGUGGUAGACAUCAUGAAAAUUUCUUCUCAUCAAGAGUAUUCAUUGAAAGAAUUAUUAGAUCAUCAAUGUUGGCUGAUUCUCAAAGAAAAUGCAUUUGGCACUAGGCAAGUGCCAAAUAGGCUGCAAGAUAUAGGGUUCAAGAUUGCGCAAAAAUGUCGAGGCUUACCAUUAGCUGCAAGCGUUCUCGGUGGCAUGCUGUGCGACAAGGGAAUAGAUGAAUGACAAACUUUAGAGAGUAGGCUUCAAAGUUUAGGUGUAGGUGAAAAUACUGCCGUUGAUAAAAUUUUGAAGUUGAGCUUUGAUCAUCUUCCAUAUCCAACUCUUCAAAAGUGUCUUGCAUAUUGUUCAAUUUUUCCUAAGGAUUUUGAAAUGGAAAGGAAUCAACUGAUCCAACUUUGGGCGGCAGAAGGAUUUCUUCAUUCAAAUCAAAUAAACAAUAUGUGUAUGGAGGAGGUUGGUAACAUGUAUUUUACCAUUUUGUUGGAUAGUAACUUGUUUCAAGAUGCAGAGAAGGAUGAGAAUGGAAAUGUUUUGAAUUGCAAAAUGCAUGAUCUUGUGCAUGAUAUGGUGCAAUCCAUUUCCAGUUCUAAAACUUUAAGGUUGACAGAGUCUGGAAGUGAUGAUAAGGAGACGUUUCCCAUUCAGUAUCUUGCACUAGAGAGAAGUGAAAAAGAAAUGCCAUUUCCUCCCUCUGAAAGGUUCAAGUGUAUUACAACAUUUUUUUUGUUGGAAGACAGAUCACUUAAUGAUAGAGAAAUAUCAUUUUUUAUGUUGCGAGUUUUGACCUUAAGGUCAUCAAGUGUCAAGGAGCUUCCUAAAUCAAUUGGCAAGGUAACUCAUUUGCGAUACCUUGAUUUAUCAAGAACUUCAAUCAAAACAAAGCCAGACUCUCUUUGUCGACUUUAUAAUUUGCAGACAUUAAGAGUUGGAUAUUGCAAAUCAAUGACAAAGUUUCCACACAAUUUCAAGAAUUUGGUGAAUUUGAGGCACUUUGAACUACAAAAUUGCACAAAGUGCAAAGAGUUACCAACUGUUGGACACAUGCCCUCCCUCAGAUCUCUUCAUUUGGAAGGACUUGAUCGCAUAACAAAGCAUAGGGCCUUCUUUUUGUGGAGAAUUAGCCCUGCAUAGUGGCACUAGCGAUCAAAGUCCCCUAAAAUUGUUUCCAAAACUUGGAUAUUUCAUUGUAAAAGGCAUGCUAAAUUUAACUGAAUGGACGAAAGCAAUCAUCCAUGAUAGAACAGUGGUGGGUUUUCCUAUCCUUGAGAUGAUGAAGAUUGAUAACUCCCCUCAAUUAGCCACUUUUCCAACUCAUUUUCCAAGUCUCAAGAAAUUACACAUCUAUCGGACCAAGAAUGGAUCAGCAGUAAUGGCAUAUAUUUGUAGCGGAGUUAGCACUCUCACUAGUCUUCACAUUGAGUAUGUGAAUGGGCUCAUCAAACUACCAAUUAUGUUAUUUCAAAACAAUCCAAAUCUUGCAUGUCUUCAUUUAAAUUCUUCUCAUGAUUUGACCAAAUUCUUGGAUUUUACAUUUGAUCUUCAUCAAACUUUAGAAGGUCCAGAUUCCCAAACAAUACUUGAGCUGAGCCAACCACACACUUGUAUUGACAAUAAUGCUACUCAACGUUUGGUUGGUCUUGAGUCCCUAGAGAAAUUAGCCGUUUGUGGCUGCAAUUCACUCAAGUCGAUUUCAAUCCCCAAGGGAUAUAAAUACCUCAGUGCCUUACGAGAAUUAGAAAUUUGCUGGUGCAAUGGGUUGACCCACUUGUCCCUCCCCCAGAUAUCUGGGCUAAUUUCUCAGAAUAUAUCCCAAAAAAAAAAGUCGGUGAAAUGUAUGUCUGACAAGGGUUAUGUACAAAAUUAUACCUACCGUGCUGACUGGGCACGGCAGGAAAUAGUUUUUUUUUAAUCGCUGUAGGGUAGCAGUGGCUACAAAUUUUUUUUAGAAAAAGUCAGCCGCCACCGACAAUUAGAAAAAGUUGUCAGUCGCUACCGUGCUGACUCAGCACGGUAGCAACUGACAACUAUGCACUGUCUCGGCCGCUACUAAGGGCUAGAAUCCGUAAUUUUAGACCAAGGGCUUGCACAUGGAAUGGCCCACUUAGCAUCAGCCAAUGUGCCCUACCUUCCCCUGGCAACUAGUGGACCUCUCCAGCAUAUAGUCAACUUAGCUUUGCCAAACUAGGACAGAUGAAUUGGAUCAGACAAAAAUACAUGACCUAUGACUACUGCAAAGAUACCAAGCGAUUCAAUGGACUAAUGCCAGCUGAGUUUUUGUAGGCACAGUAUUAGAAAUGAGGAUCAAUACUUAGCAGAAUAACCACCCUCAGUUUAUGGGGUAAUUUGACAAUAAAUCACACAUGUAUUCCUGUUUAAUUUUCUUGAUUUUAAUUCCCUGGAGAUAUUCCACAUGUUUAAAUUAUUAUUUUGAUGCAAAUUUGGAUUUUAAUUGGUUUCAGAAUGUAUUUUUCCAGUUUUUUCCUUUCCAAGUUGCAGAUCACAAUUUCUUUAUUUUUUGAAAAAUGAUUGUCCAUUUUCUUCAUGUUUUCCGAAGUUCAAGAGCUAUGUUUUGUGCUUUAAGGGUCGAAUUUCACUUACCAUUAAAUAGACUCAUACCACCAGCCAGAAACAAGAGAAGAAAAAUGCCUUUUAAUUCAUGGUCCUGAGGUUUUAUGUUCCCAAAUCAAGGACAGAGUAGAAACCACAAAGUUGGACAGUUAUUAGACAAGUUUGCAGUACACAGACAGAGCAUAGACAAAAUUAUAUUGAAGGAUAUAAAAUUUUAAGCAACUUUGUAGGUAAUCCUGAAUCAUAGAAUGAUAAAAUUAAGUAGUCACUAUUGAGCAACUACAAGUUUGCAACAUCAGCAACAUCAAUGGCAAAUCCACCGGCAAGAUCAGACUUAAGUACCAGAUUACAGAUAUGACCAUUUUUAAUUAUCUAAAUAAUUUCAAUACCGGUGAUUGUUUUAGCCUGUUGUGAACUGUUACUUCAAAUAUGAAAAAUAAUGGAAAGCUAAUCUUUGACUCAUAAAAUCUCAAGAUUACCAAAGCCGCAAGGCAAAUUUGCAACUUUAUGCCAAAAAAUACAUACUGCACUUCGUAUGUUGACAUGAUGCAGAAUGAUAGUCUAACAAAUUCAAAUGCACACAGCACAUUAAAACCAUAGGAAAAGGUUUGAUCGCUCAAUUCUCCCUUUCCUUCUUUUCCUUUUUUUUUUUGGUUAGUUUCCAAUCUUGAGAAUACAAAAUUUGGAAAGGAAGAAGCUAGAAGGGGAUGGGGAAGAUGAAAAUUGAACCAUUCUUCUAAGAGGAGGAACAAAAAUCCCUCUGUUUGACCACUUACUUGCCAAAACUAUACUACCAAGAACAUCAAACUCUUAGUCUGAGAAACAAUCCAUGGUAGACAAAAAGAUCAAGAAGCAAAUGCAAAAGGACGGAUAUAACCCAGUGUUGUUAAAAUCGCGAUCCGGAUUAUAGGAUCAUACGAUCUGGAUAACCAAAAUCGAUCUGGAUCGCAUGUAGAAUCGCAAAUUGCAUUAAUCCGCAUAGGAUCGAGUAGGAUCGAUAGAAUCGUAUAGAAUGGUACGAUUCUACGAUCCUACAAAUUUUUACUAAUUUGUGAAAUACGAGACUUCAUUUUGCAAGUAAAUGAAAACAUUUGAGGUGGGGUUGUAAUUUGUCAAAGAAUUGCAGCCUUUAAUUGCAAUGUUUUAACAAUUUUUGCCACAAAAAGUCAAAAAAGCUCCGAUUCUUCUCAUCUUCUCCUCUCUGUCGUUUCUUUACUUCUUUAUUCUUCAGUCUUCACUUUUCACUUCUUCUCAACCGCUGAUCAGAAUCCUAGUUUGUCCAUCAAACCACCACCGCUGCAGCUCCGGAUCAAUAAGAUGAAAUCGCUGCGGCUUCUACCAAGUACCAACAAGCUACAGUUUCAAGGCUUCAAGCCAGAUUUUGGCGGCUUCAAGACGAAAUCUCCUAUUGCCGCCGGAUUUUGGCACCUUCAAGAUGAAAUUCUAGAUAUCAAUAGUAAUUAAUCAAGCACAAACAAAAGCAAGAGAACAAAAAGAAAGAAAGAAAGAAAUGCUAUAAUGGACGAUCAACUCACAAUUGUGCCAGAUGUUCUUUGCUACAUUUUCAGCUCUAUGGCUCCAAGAAUUGAACAUAUGAAUCACAGAUUCACAAGGGUUCUCGCUAGGCUUGACCACAGGUGAGUAAACAACGUAGGGGUGGUGUUGAUUGACCCAUGAGGCUGCCCUCUGAUUGUCUGGAUGAGUUGUUGGAGCUGCUGGUUGACCCAUGAUACGAGUGCCCCACUUGGCCUGAUCCUCAUCCUAGUUUUUCAUGUUUGUUUAAAUUUGACAGAUGACAUUUUAGUAGUUAAUUUUGAUAUUGAAAAUCUUGGAUUUGGAUGUUUGGCUUUUUAGUAUUUGUGGAGGUUGAUGAUUAUUUUAUAUUUGAAAUUAUGAUUGUGUAAACUGUAAAGCAUUUAGUUUUAAGACUUGAAAUCAUGACCGAUAACAGGUUUAUGUUUUCUUCUUUAUUACUUGUCAGAUAGUAAGUAAAAAAUGCUAUAUAUUUAUGAGUAAAUUGUUUAUUUGAUAUCUUUUAGGAUGUACAAAAUGGUAUAUGAAUUUUAAAUUCAUUUAUUUAGUAAAUUUAGGAGCUUUUGAUGGGAUCUUACAAUCCUACGAUCCGAUUCUGUAAAACUAAAAUUGAUCCACGUAGAAUCCCGAUUUUACAGACCUUGAUAUAACCAUUUCCGUCAAACGCUGGCACUUUUUUGUUUUUGAUGUAUGUCCCCUGUCGUGCUGACUGUGCAUGAUAGGAGACAGGCGGUUUUUAAAAAAAAUUUAGGCAGCUGCUACUAUGCACAGUCAACAUGGCAACAGCUGACCUUUUUCGAAAAAAAAAAAUUUGUGACCCAAUGAUUUAAAAAAUUUAUUUUGCUGCAGUUAUAGUUUGAGAAACACCUUAUUAGAGCGUCAUUUGGCGGAUUUUUUUUUUUUCACGUACAUUCUGAGAAAUUAGCUAGAUAUCUGAGUCAGAGUGGAAUUCCACUUCUUCGCCCUCUCUUUCGGGUACCUGUCUUCCUCCUCUUCUAGUUCUGCCUAUUGAGAAAUUGCGAGUACACGAAUGCAACAAUCUUAUCUCCUUUCCAAUUGAUUUAACCCCAAUACCUUCUCUCUCUUUCCUAUUCAUAUCACCUUGUCCCGAAUUAACGGACUUGCCCAAGGGGAAGCUUUGUUCUCUUAGAAGCUUGAGAAGCUUAACGAUUGGACCAUUCUCAGAAACCACAGAGCUGCAUUCCUUCCUAAACCUCUUUGAUGCUCUCCAACCACCCCACCACUAUUUCCCCUCCCUUUCAAGUUUAAGUCUGGAUGGAUGGCCUCAUUGGGAAUCUCUGCCUGAGCAACUUCAGCACCUCUCUGCGCUAACACGUUUGCAACUAGGUGGUUUUGGAGUAAAAUCAUUGCCCGAUUGGUUUGGGAAGCUUUCAUCACUUGAACAUCUUUGGCUCCGUGGAUGUGAAAAGUUAGAGAAUUUACCCUCUCACCAAUCAAUGAGAAAACUCACCAAACUAAUAUGGUUGGAGAUUAGCGACUGUCCCCUUCUAAUGAGAAGAUACAAACCAGAGAGUAGCAGUAACGCACCACCAACCCCAAUUCUGAGUGGUCCAAGAUGUGCCAUAUUCCCAAAAUUGCAAUUGAUGGGUGGUUGCCGAAGUAGUGGCCGAACUCCAUUUGACAUGACAUAAAUAAUGCCAGUUUCCCUAAUUACAACUACUAGGAAAUCCUCUGUACUACUACACAGUUUUUCAAUUAAUUUUACUUCUGCUAUCCAUCUUUAUUUCUUUACCCUUAAAAUCAUUUAUUACUAUUGACAGGAAUAAUGUAUCGAUAAUGUUUGUUAAUGGAAUCUUUAAUCGUGCAGCCUAACUUUUGCUAUAUAACUGUUGCAAACCUAUCCUUUCUUGGUCCUCUAAAUUUCUACUUUCCAGGUAACCUCUAUGUUUAUGUGCUUGUGUGUUUUCUUCUAUUUUCACGAUUCUCAUUUAUGAUCCACUAUCCUUUUUACUUCCUCUAGUAUUUGUUUGAACUUCAUUAACGAAAAUUUUUUUUUGCUAUCAACAUUUAUGUUAUAUGGUGAGAAAGCUAGCUAGCUGCACAUCCUUUCCAAUACAAAUUUCAAAAUUUUGCAGUUUUUAAUGGGUAGCAUACAUUUCCCAAUUCAGUGCUGUGAAUUAGGCUAGUUUUCCAACAUAUCCACCUUUUAUUUUUUUAAAAAAAUUCAUCUUAUUUUCUUUCUACUUUGUUGGAGCACUUAGUACAUAUGUUAUAUAUUGAUCAUUUAUCUCCAUCUGUAUUUUUAAUUGCAUUGUCAAUUAUUUGGUUUGUUGCUUAAUUCAGUUUUGGACUCAUAUUCAGUAGUGAAAGUUUCAGACUAGCAAAGUUUUGCCUUUUGGUCAAACAAAUGACUAGACUGAGAGAAAUAAUAGCAUUACUCAAAAUUAACAGGUUUUGAGUAUAGCGUUUUUGUAUUCAGCCAAGAGUAUGCAGUAACUACUUACAAUUAGAAAUUUUGACAUAAGCAAUGUGUUUGUCAGAUUGUAAUGACUGACAACAAAAAUAGCCAACUAGCACAAUGAUAUUACUUAAGCUUUAAGAAUGUUUUACAUAAGAAUGACCGUGGAGUAGCUCGGUGAAUCAUAUAAUUAUAGAUACUUGAGCAUGUCUUUCUAGUAAAAGAUUUGUAGUUCAAUGAGCAAAGUGAUAAUAUUUUUGAGCACUGAUCAGUGAUGCAAAGUAUUCCAUUCAGAUGAGAAAUUCCACAUAUUUGCUGAAACUAAGAGCUUUUUCCUCAAAAUGUUAAAUUUUUUUCCCUUGUCAAACAAUACACUUCAUAGAGUAAGCUUAACUCACCAUGUUUACACUGAGAUUCUGAACUUAGCAUGAUUGUGAACAUGCUUUUGAUCCUAUGUCACUUUGUUGGAAAAAAAUUGCAAUAGUACCAAGAGAUUGCUAGCCUUUCAAGUAAUGAACUUAAUCAAGGUCAAUAUUUCAAGUGAUUAGUAUAACACACUUGGGCCCUUAAUUUGUUCUGAACUUAGCUCAAGGCCAUUGAAUAGUUUGUUAGAGCUUUUGUUUCUUUUGCUAUUUAUGCUAUAGGAAAAAAAUGCUAAAAUCUAUCUUUCACUACUUAGGAACAUGGUGGUCACUAUGUUGUGUUGUCUAGCAAAGUAUUUGAUAAUCAUCUUACGUUGUCUGUCUGCUUUUAUGUUUAAUUAUUUUUCAAUUUAUGAUCUUUUUCUUUAUAUGGUAAAAGGUAUAUUGGAACAAAAGUCUUCAACUAUCACGGUUUACUAUUAUAUGGUGAUGCAGAUAAGUACCUACAUAUUCUUGAGCAUGCAAAAAAUGAGGGGCUGUUUGCUUGGCGAGAGCUUUCUAGUUUCAAAUUAGAUCCAUCAGGGCACUCUCAAAAGGAACUCUUUCUUCUUCUUUAUAUGGUGAUGGUUUAGGUACAAUUCAGCAUUCCCAUAAUGCUUUUUAUUUUCCUAUAUUCAAUUGCUCUGCAGCUUUGAUCUAAUGGCAUCUUUUCUUUUGUUGUAGGCAUACCAAGUUUAGUUUUAGAAUCCACAAUGAAGCAUUUGUAAAAACACGUGGAAUAGUAUAAAAGGCUGAUGGUGUAAAAGAUUUUUUCGAGGCUUAGACAUGCAGCAACAAAGAUUAUUCGAGCUGGCUACGAGGACUCUCUUGCAUGAGGUAACACUUCUCUUUCUGAUGAACAAUUUAUGAUUCAGGAAAACGUUAUCUAGCUUCAAAGGCAAUUAGAAGGAGCAAUGAGAUGAAAUUCUACAUAAUCACAUUCAUAAGUAUCAGGAAUACAUCUUUUCAAAACUCACCUUCAGACCCCUCCCCCUAAAGGCACUACUUUCUGUAUUCUUCUUGAGUAAUAUAUCCCUAAUUUUCUGACAUGAAUGAAACUGUAAAUAGCAACUUUUUCAGUUAUUAGCACCUUAAAUAUGAAGAAAUAUCAAGAAAUAGUGUUGCUCUUUAGAUGAUUGAAUAGUCAAGUAGUGCCUUGAAGCAGUUGCUUGAUAUGUUAUCGAAAUAGAGCUAUUUGGUGUAAUAAUAGGCAAUUUUCUUUUGAUCAACCUUGUUGGUAGUACAAUCAAUGUGGAUGGCAUCCUCCUGGUGAAAGAGAGUAUCCAUGUCUUGUCAGGGGAACUUAUUAUGCAAAAUACUUGGUUAGUUAGUUUUCCGUUGCAAAAAUUCAAAUUGCUUUCGUAAUCAUGCUAAAAUUACAAAAAAACAAAUAAAGAGAUAAAUAAAUAAAUAAAUAAGAAAAAAAUGAACCACCUCAAAGUAUUCUAGUUCCUAUCUACUAAUAAAAACUCAACCUUGAAAAUCAGCUUUAAGGAUGAUAUGUAACUUUGUUACAUUUAAUGACUGCACAAAUAACCUGUGAAAUUAAUAAUGUGCAUUAUCUCCAUUAAGUAGCUAUGGGGGAAGAAAUAUCAAGAAAAUGCCAUUUAAUUAUCAAGAAAUAUCAUUUGUCUAGAUUAGUAUUUGUAGUCUCUUGCAAAUUUAGUAUUUUCAAUUAUUUAGAGAAUUCUUACAAAAUUAGUUUUGCGAUUUUCAAAGUUGCAAUUGUUUAAAAAUUUUGGGAAGAAUUUGGUACCUGAAUGCUACCGUCAUUCUGUAAUGUUCAUGUCCUUUUUCUUUUUAUUUGUUAGGGUAAAUUACAUUUUACCCCCCUGUGGUUUACCCCUUUUUUACAUAACCCCCCUAUGGUUUCAAAAGCUAUACAUAACCCCCUCAUAGUUUGGAUUAAAGUGUCAAAGUAACAGAAAUAGUCACUUGUAACGGAACUUUUAAAAAUGUCGAAAUUACCCUUAUAAAUACAUGACACAUUAACCCCCUAUGAUUUUUAUAUUUUACCAUAUAACCCCCUUAUAGUUUAAUACUUUACCAUAUAACCCCCUUAUGAUUUUCAAAAUAUACACAUAACCCCCCUUGGUUAAUACAUAAAUUUCAACCUUACAUAAGGGUAUUUUUGACAUUUUAGGUGAUGCCGUUACGAGUGACUAUUUCCGUUACUUUGACACUUUAAUCCAAACCAUAAGGGGGUUAUGUAUAGCUUUUGAAACCAUAGGGGGGUUAUGUGAAAAACGCUAAACCACAAGGGGGUAAAGUAGAAUUUGCCCUAUUUGUUAUUCAUUGUGCAUGUGGUUGUGGACUUUGAUUUUGAAUUUCAAGAAUGCAAGGACCAUUCCUAUUGAAACAAGUUGUCUUAUUAACAUAUAGUCAAAAGAGCCUUGAGCCUCUUGGAGUUUCGUCGUCCCUUGCAAGCGUAUGUCACGUGACUAAAUUCUUUUACUCAGCAAGCACUUAUUUAGUCAGAUCCAUUUGGUUGCUGCACUUUGACCGUAUGGCUUUUCCCCUUGUUCUAAAAGUCUUCCACGUUGACAGCAGCGCCGCUUCAUUUUAGCCUACAAGCAUCCUCAGAUUCAGGCUCUUGCAACCGAUACAUAGCUUUCCUUUCUAACCACCACACCCAGAUUAUCAGGCCACAAUCCUUCCGUACCGAUCUUUUCGUCACCAACUUUCCAACGUCAAACUUUCCCCCUUUUCUUCUGGUUGUACGACACAGCCGAUUCUAUUGGGUUUCCUUCCAUUACCCCUACUGGUGAUUUUUUCCUCGUUUGUUUGUUGUCUUCUCAACAUUCAUCCUUGGAUGGGUUAUAUAAGUAAUUUAGUCUGGAUGUAAUGAAAAAGCUUAGAGCUGAUUUACAGGACAAGCUAUUUCCGUACUUGUGUGCCUGCUAUCUGAAGUGGUCGCUGAUGGCUGGUUUAAUUGGAGUGAACGUUCAUGUGUCAGAGGUAGCUGUUGCUAAUUCAAGCUUUCUUUUGGCUAUAUGUUAAUUAUUGAAGCGCUCUUUUGUUCAUUCUUUCUUUGUGCUUCCUCUGCCUUUGUUGUUGCUCUUGCUCUCAUUAUUCUUCAGCCUUCCUCCUUCUUCCGCUAUUGGUCUUUCGCUUGUUUUUAUUAUUGCUCCUUCUAGUGGCUUGCCUGUAUCAGAUUCUGCUGCUUUCUACUUAUAUUGCUAGUAAUUUACCGGAUUUUUCCUUUCCUUCUUUUUAUAUUGCAUAUUGUUUCUUGAUUUGCUUUUGAUUGGCUUUUUAUUACUGUUAUGUCUACGAUUUUUCCACCCUUUGUUGAUUUUUCUUAUAUUCAAUGUGUGUUUGUUUUGGUGAUACCCUUUUAUACUUGAUUCUUUCUUUGCCUCUGUUUAGCCUGCUAAAUUAUGCUUUCCACCAUUUAAUUUUCCCCCUCCCCCCCCAAAACCAAAAACAAGCAAAAAAAAGUCCUCCCAUUCUCACUCUGAAAGCCUUUACCCAUAAUUCGUCCCCACCAAUAUAUAUAUGUAUAUAUAUAUAUAAAUAUACUGUUUUGCCUUUACAAACAUGCCAUUUGUUUGUAUGUGUUCUUAAAAAUAAGAGGAAAGACAAAAGAUCUUUGUUGAUGCUAUCUUGUUUUUCGCCCUCCUUUUAUUCCUUUUAAUAGUUCUUGAAUUUUUUUAAAGUCUAUGCUUUUGCUAUUUAUUUGAGAGCUCUUCGUUAAUAAUUCCUUUGUUUUCUUGUUUGCCAGUGUUAAUAUAGCAUUUUUUAUAGUAUUUUCAGCCUUUUUAAAAUUGAUUUUGUCUCAGUCAGUAUUUGUUUUUCUACUUGUACUGAUGUUUUAUUUAUUUCUGCUGCUAUUUCCUAUAGGCCUUUCUUCAGUCACCAUUGCAAAGUCGCUACAAGGUAUGUUAGUGCUCCGUUUUACAGUCAUCUUGGAAAAAAAAAUGAAAGCUUGAGAGUAGGAAAGAUUUUCCCCAAAUGAGAAGCAUAAUCAACUUACUUUUGGUGCUAAUGGUGAAGAAAUAAUGGGAUUUUAGUUCUGUUAUUGAGGUUGCAAUGCUUGUUUCCGUUUUCAAUCCAUUGAUGAUUACUCUCAUUCAAGUUUAUACAGAUUAAUCUGUACUUGUUUGGCUUACCAAUUGGAUUUGCGGAAUAGGUCAUAUUUUAACGGCGUGUUUAGCCUUCUAAUGCUCUUCAAACCAAUGGAUCUGCAUUUAAAAUGCUGAAAACAUACUGCCAUAGACGAACGAUUGAUCCAAGCGCCCUUGAGAUCCUGUUCACUAUUAAUAUAUUCUUGAAUGGCAGCUUAUUGGGUUGAUGCAACUGUCUCCAGUCAUUGUAUUCUUUAUAGAUUUUUACUGUAUAUUGACAUACAACAUUUGGCGUUAAUAAGUACUAAAAUAUGUAGGAAGUACAAUAGCCUUGCACAAUUGCAUCUAAAUCAGUUGCCCUGGUGUAUAAUAAGCGUGAUUUAGAUAGGGAAAAGCUUAAUGCCAAGUACAACUGCAGUGAAGUACAACAUGGACAUUGAAAAUCAUCAUAUGUAUGUGCAUUUUUUCUUGUCAACAUUUGUUUGUUGUGCCAUCAAAAUCAUAUGGCUGGAGCAGAAUGUAACUUGGCAUAGAAACACUGAGUACAGGAAACUAGUAAACACUGAGUACAGGAAACUAGGAAACUUGAAGUUUGAUCUAAUGUUAUUCACAGAGCUCAAAAUGAACACAAAAUUCCCUUGGACAGUUCCACUUUCUGAUAUACUAAAGCUACAUGUUCCAGGAAGUAACGGUAUGUUAUGCUCUAAUCCUUUUCUGCCAAAUUCAAAAAGAUUUGCUACAGUCAUAUCUCACAAAUUUUAUUGUUUAUCAUUUAUACCAGAUAAAAAGGCUAAAUACAUCUUAUAUCAACAUGUUUGCUCAUCAAUAAAGCCAAACAUUGCUCAAGAUGAAGCAGAUUCUAUAGCUUUUUAUCAAGUUUAUAACAAAAAGAAUAGAGACAAAUUUGUAAGUCUAUGUGCUCGGUCCUUUUAUCCUUUCCUUAUCUAAUCUCUUAUACACUACUUUACACACUUUAACUAUUUUCCCCCACCUUUUUCCUUAGAAAAUUCCAAAGUUUCUCGAACAUAUCGUAGAUAGCAAUAAAACUCCAGUUGUCACUUUAAGGACUGGAUAUAAAGCUUUUCAAGUUGGAAUGCAAGGAAGGCAAUUCACAAGCUAUUGGGAAAUCUUUGUCAAAACGCAUGAGUUGGAACUAGGCGACACUUUGGUCUUCAUCCCAGAGUCCAUUAAUAGCUUUACAGUCCAGAUUUACAAACCAAAUGGAGUUGAGAAACUUUUCCCUUGGUAUCAUAAGUAUUAUGUGUAUUCUUAUUUGUAGAUUCCUUUCACGUUCUAGCUAUAAACACAGAAUUCAUCUUUUUGUUUAAGUAUGUAUCACUAAUGUCUUUUGUCAAUUAUAUGACAGUAUAGAUUCUUACUAAGAUUUUUGUGCUAUAAUAGUUAGAGUUUUAAAUAUUUUAUUUACUUUGCUUUUCCUUCUUUAUCAGAUAGCACCAACGGAUUUUUCCUUUUUAAUUUAUAACCUUUUAAUUUACCAUGUCAUAUAAUGCAAUAAACAUAAAAAAUUUAUCCAACAAUCUACAUAGAUACACAUGAACAUUAAUAACAAAUUAUUAGACAAACAAACAACUACUUAUUUAAUAAUACCACACCAUAUAAACUAUUAGCAGCAAGCUACAAAAUAAUAACAUCUAUCACACACCAAUUACAGCAAAUUUUUUAGUCAUUUUGACUAUUGAAACUAUCAAACUCUCAAAAGAAAGUAAUAUUAGUUGCCGCAGCAUUUGCUCAUCAACAUCUGCCUUCAUUCUUCAAGCAAUUAGCUGCAACAUAGAUAGACCUCUUAUCUAGAGCUCACAUCACGUAUAUAUAUUGCUACCUUUAAUACAAACACGUCAUAGCAAGAUUGCUUAUUUUAACCUAUCAUUUAAAUACAGACCUUAAUUAUGCAAAUUAAUUUCGUAAACAUCUUAGUUAUCGAUACAUUCUCUCUCUUUUACAUUUCAAAUAUCCAUCCAUUCUAACUAAACUCAAAACAACUAUAUAUUACAAUAUUUAUACAAAACAUUAUAUUUAUAUUUUUUAAAAAUCAGACCUUAAUUCAAAUCCAUCCCUCUUCUCUUAAUUUAAUAUUCCAAAACUAAAUUAAAUUUUCAGAUUUAAGUUUUUUCUAUUUUGCAUUAUGAAUGUUUAAUUAUGAACAAACUCUCUCAUUCUAUGUUCUAUAUUCAUAAGUAAACACCUAGUUUAAUAUGCCAUUAAUAAGUAAUUUAUAACAAGAUUAAUACUUGUCAAAAAAAUCAUCUUCCAAAUGCUUUGAUAUAAAAUACAACGAAACAAAAUUCCAAACAAAAAAUUUAAAAAUCUUAUUUUAUCUAAUAGCUAUCUUAUUUCCAAAAAAAAAUAUUAUUCACUUUAACUAUUAUUCAUGUACGACAUUCGUAUAUUAAAUUUAUAUUAAACACUUAUGAUCUUCUUCCUCAACCUUUGUAUAUCUACAGUCAUUUACUAAUAUUCAUAUAGCAACCAUAAUACAAUAAAAUAUAAUUUUUCCAAAGAUGAGUGGGCACAAAUCUUGUAUUACCGCGCAGCGCGCGGCAUCAGAUUGCCUAGUCAUCUUAAAGGGGCUAUUUGCUUGGCAGUGGCAUUCUAACUUCAAAUGGAUCCAUCAAAGCUCUACCGAAAGGAAGACUCUUUCUCAUUCUGUAGAUGGAGAAGGUUUAGUUACAUUCAGAAUGACUAUAAUGCUUUCUCCUUUGCUAUAUUCAAUUGGUGGAUAACUCUUGAUCUAGUGGCAUCUUCUCUUAUGUCGUAGGCAAUGAUAAGUCCAGUUUGAGAGUUUACAGUCAACCAUUGGUAAAGAUUCAUGGUACAGUAUAAAAAGAAAAGGGUGGAAUAAAUCUUUUUAAGGCUUAGAGCUCUCCUGCCGCAAUGAAAAUGAUUUUGGCUGGCUGCUGGAAUCCUUGUGCAUGGGGUACACUCCUUUUUGUGAUGAAAAUUUUCUUAUUCAGGAAAAGUUUAUCUGACUGCAAAGACAAUUUAAAGGACCGACCUUUAAAUUGUAUUGCCUUCAAGUAGUAAAUAGCAACUUUUUUCAUUAUUAGUGGCUGAAAUAUUAAGAAAUAGUGAUGCUUGUCUGCCGGUUGAAUAGUCAGUCAAGUACUGCCUUGAAGCAAUUCCCUAAUUUAUCUUCCAAAAGGAGGUGCUUGUUGAAACAAUGGGCAACUGCUAGUUUUGGUUCAUUUGGUAUGGAGUAACUGAAGGAUGAAGUUGCAUAUAUUCCUUCUUGUUUGUAGUUCUUGAAAUUACUUGUUCAUCUGUAGUUGGCAAAUCAGAAUAUUUUGAGAUUCUUAGUUGUUGAGUUAGUUCUUAUGCCGUAGUGGAUUAUGGGUGUCUGUUUGACAAUGUUAACAGCACAUUACAUUCGUUUUUGUUGUUAAUUCUCUAAUGGAACUCUGUGUUGGUACACAGUUGUUUGAGUGCUAGAGAUCAGAUGAAUUGUCUGAAGUCAUGCUAGGGAAGUUUUCCUGUGUAUGAGAAGCUAUGAACACAAGCUAUUCUCUCAAUCUGGCGCUAGGGCACUGCUUUAAUUCAGGGUUAUUGAAUGGUUGAUGGCAAAGAUGCCAUGUUAAUACUCUGCUUUUGUUCAUUUUAAUGUUACAUAAAAUUCUCUAGCCUAUCAUGAGAUGUACAUCAUUUUGAGUCUUUAAGAUGAAUUAGGUUAAUGGAUGGUGAGAAGGUCAAAAUUUUUACAUGGAAUUCUGAUGGAUAUCAUUCAAUCCGGAAGUAAAUUUCUGAGAGGAAGGCUCGCAUUAUUGGAAGUACACAUCAUGUGGAUGGCAAUCUCCUGGGGGAAAAGAGUGUCCAUGCCUUGCAAGUGGAACCGAUCAAUAGGCAAAAAUCUUCAAGUACUUAGGAAUGAAUAGGCAAGUCAAAUACCUUUAUGUUACUUGUGAACACACUGAAAUAAAUGAACAAAUAGAUAAAUACAACCAAAAAGAAAUGAACACUUCAAUGUAUUUUGUUUGCUUACUAUAGAUAAACAAGUCAACUUCAAGAACCAGCUACAAGAAUGAUAUGUAACUUCAUUAUACAUUCAUUGCAUACCCUAUGAAAUAAAUAAUAGUAGAUUGUCCAUUAUCUUCACUAAGAGUUCCACUAGGAAGAAAUAUCAAGCUACUGCUUUAAGGCACUACUUAAUUAUCAAGUAAUAUCAUUUAUUGACAUUAUUUUUUAGGUUUCUUGCAAAUUCAGUGUUUUCAGUUAUCUAGUGAAUUCUUACAAGGUGAACUGUGUGGUUUCCGAAAUUGGAAUUGAUUAGAAAUUUUGGGAAGGAUUUUGGUGCCAUAAAUGCUGUUGCAAUCCUCUGUCAGUCUUAUCCUUUCGCUUUUUAUCUGUUUCUUGUUGUUUAUGUUGUUGAACACUUCUGAAUUUGUUUCUCAAAGCUAUCAGGACUAUUUCGAUUGAAACAGUUGUCUUGAACAAAAUCUAGAGUCCUGAUACAUCGUUUAGAUAGCUUGAUCACUUAGAUAAAGUAUGAGUUUGGCUAUAUUGCUGGUGCAAAAGGGUUUCUAGCCUCUGUAACCUGAUGUUAAUCUAUUCAUGGCAAAUUUGGCGCAACCAAAAACAUUGAGAUGCUGAGUUCCAAGGAACAAAGUCAAGUUUAAUAAAUUGGAAUAAUUUAGCUAGCUACUUAUCCUCUUAUAUUCAUGUCAGGAUUAACUGCUCAUGAUUGAAAUCUGCAUUUCAUUCAUUUAAAAAUUAACUGCUCAUUUAUAUUGUUAUCUUUUUAGAAUUGAAUGUUAGUAUUUCUUUUUUACUCUGUUGGUGCCUGAUGGUAGCUACUUUUUUGCUCAAAGGACACUCUAUGAAUAGCAGGGUCAUCACACAUAUUGAGGAACCUCUUCUAUUUCUCUUAAGAAUAUGCAAUGGGGAUGCAACUCCCAAGGUUAGGUCUUAACAUGGCCUAGUUCAAGACCUCCUUCACAGUCGCACUAGAAAAAGUAAGCAGAAAACUUCCUUGGUUGGAGGGAUUUAUCUGGGCUCUUCCAAGAGGAAGAUUCGUGCACUUUAAUUAUAUAGAGAGUGUUAAAUUACAAUUCAGCAUGAAUGUAAUGCUUCCUAUAUUGGUGUAUGCUUAUUAUGCAACUUCUGAUCUGAUGCCAUUUCUUCCUGUGGUUGUAGGUAGUUUUGAGUCUAGUUUGAGAGUCUACUCUCAGAUUGGUAAAUCGUGGAGGAACAUAUGAGGUUGACAGCGAUACAUCUUCUUGAGGCUUGAAGUUAUCCAAGAAGCUCCAAUUGAAAAUCAUUCUGGCUGGCUGCAGGGGUUCUCAUGCAUGAGGUACACUUCCUUUGUGUUGAAAUUUCUCCGAAUCAGGAAAAUUUAUUUGAUUUUCAUCAAUACUGCUGAUUUUUUUUGUGACUUUGUGAAAUUUUCGUGAACAAUAGAAUCAGUAAUGUCUUCUUAAAUUGCCAUUUGUUUUAAACUUGUCAGAAAUUGUGAAUCUUCCACCCAUGGUUUGCAAGGUAAAUCACAGAGCUAUGGAUAAGCAAUACAUGGGAAAGCUACUGGUUGGAUUAAGUUGUGGUAUGUCCUUGCUCCCAUAAUCAUGCAUUUACUUCCUAAAUCUAUUACUUCCACUUUUCUGGAGCCUAUUUACUAUUGCACCAAGUAGAAACCAAAUUUGUUUCCAUUUAGAUGACAACUGCUGCGGAUGAGGCUUGUCAGCCCUUUUAAAGAAACAUAGCCUGGUCGAAUUGAGAAUCUUUCAUCUGUUGAAGGGUUCUAAGUUGGAAAAUGCAAAAAGCUUGAGUAGUAAUCCUCCCACCAAUCCAUCAGAAGUCUGGAUAUAGGAUGUGUAUCAUGUGAUUUAUAGGGAGGAUGCUGUCACAAGCGGAGCUACCCCAACACUAAGUGGUGCAAGAGCUUUGAGAUUUCUGUUUUUGUUAAUAUUCUAAUUGAAUGCUGAGUUGUCACAAUUAAAUUCUAAGAAAACUCUAGUCUACACGUCUGUUAAGGACGUCUUCAAUUCUGUAAUGCUAUCUUCAAUUCUGUAUAUUCAAUCUCAUGAUGCUAUACAUUCUUUUGACAUUUUGCCGAACAGACCCUUAUUGCUAUACGUGAAAGUGAAUUGAGUUUUAGAACAGAACACAUUGUAAGGUAUGUGAUCUUGCACAAUAUAUCUGAGUUUUAGAAAAUUUGGUGCGAAAAGAAUUUGCAAAAUUUGUUAUUGUAGAGAAAAAAAAUGUACAAUUAGAAAUGUGAACGCAGGGCAUCUACCAACAUUGUUUUUGGAGACUAGUACUCUUGAUGAUGUGUUCACCUGCAAGCUUUUGCGUGUGUUUGUAUUAACAGGGACAAGGUAUUAAGCAGUUGCCAACUUCAAUUAGCAAGGUGAUAGGUUUAGUGCACCUUAAUCUAUCAUUUACUACAAUCAAAACAUUGUUAGCUAUGUUUGUAAGGUUUGCAACUUAAGACACUUUUGAGAAUUGACUGUCUCGAGAGCUGAUCAGUUUAGGAUUUUGAUAACCCUGAGACAAUUUGAUCUGUUUGCAUUUGACUCCAAAUUUAAAAUGUCAUCUAAAAUCGGGCAACUAUCUUGUUUUCAAACAUUAAGAUUCGUUAAUGGUGGUCAAACUGACUCAUCAAAUUGAAGAACUGGACUAUUUAAAGAACCUCUCUAAUAGUGGAGAUGACUGACAAACUUGGGAUGGAAGUUUUCCGGCCUCGCGCAAAUUUGAAAAGCUUAAUAUUUUCUGAGAUUGUAUGUAAGAAUUGAAAUCAUUUAGCUUAAUGGGAUAUGAUGGUGGAGAUGACUGAUUCUCUGACUCAACAAUUUAAUAGUGGUCAAAUUGCUGCAUUGCAGAAAAAUGCAAGGUAUCCCCCAACGUUUGGGAAACUGGAAUCAUUGACUUACUAAUGUUCAGGAACACAUGCAUGUUUCUAGUAGCCCCUCAUCGUGCUCCUCUUUUUUUUUUUGUCACAACGAUAGAAUUCCUAUAACCUAAACUAGCCUAUUCUAAGGGGAGGGGGGAGGGGACUCGAUGAGAGUAGAUGGCCAAUGAAAACCGUCACAAAUUGUAACAAAUUUUUUGUGGGAGGCAGGGUUCGAACCCAUGACCUUUUUGCAUCACCAAACCUUAGAAUGCUUGGGAUAACCACUGGACUAAAGGCCCAAUGGCAAUCGUGCUCCUCCAAAUAUAAGAAUUCAAUGCUUAGAUAAAUUGGAAGUUUUGCCCAUGGCUUACAAAAAAUGGAUUUGGAAGUUUAAGAAAAUUAUCAAGUUGCCAAACCAUGGUUAAAAAGGACCUCGAUAUCUGAGUAAUAAAGCACAUAAAGAAUUGAAUUUCUCAUGCACUUUUACUUUUUUUUUAAGAUUUAUUGGGUAAAUUACACAUAACCUUCAUGUGGUUUUUACAUAAUGCUACAUGGCCUUCUAACGUCUCAAAAUAUUUACACAACUUUCCUGUAGUUUCAUAUAAAGUAAAAGUUGAUAGAAGAUAGCCUCGUUAAUGUUAUCAAUUGAAAUACGAAUGUAGACUUAAACGAGAACAACGGUCUAACCACCUUGCAUAAAACUUAGGAGAUUAUGCAGAUAAAUAGAAAAAUUAUAGAAAGUAAAGUAGAUAUUUAUGAAUAUCAUAGAAGGGUUAAGUGGCUAUUAUGAUUCUAUCACAUAAAUUUUUAGAGUGUACUUGGUUCAAUUACAAUAACCGGUAAUACUUUCUUUCCAUUUUGCACUUUACAUAAAAUCACAGGGAAAUUAUAUUACUAUUUUAAAAUCUUAUCGGAUCAUGCGAUAAUAGAAAAAACACACGGGAUUAUGUGUAAUUUACCCUAAAUUUAUUCGUCCUUUUUGCUCUCUGAAUCAUUUCACAUUUGUUGUUGUUUUCUUUAUGUUAAACCUGCCUCACAUACUAUUUUUAUUUUGGCUGCAAAUAAUGCAUAACCUGCUUAUUGUUAUAACUCUUUUAGAGCGUUUACUUGGAUAAGCAGUACAAUCAGUGACUAGCAUAUCUAUAUCCUAUAGUUACUUUUCUUAAGCAAUUACUUUGCAUCCCUUGUUUGAAUUGUAUAGACUAUGGAAAAUUGUUACCGGAUUAAUGAAGUGGAAAGAAAUGUUAAUUGCCUUAGAUUUUACAAACCAAAUUUUUUCUCAGUAUUUUUAUUUAUUUCAAUCGAUUAAAAUAUCAUUAAUGCCUUUUGUUUGGAUUGAAUAUAAAAUGUGCCUUUAUUAGUUAAGUUUAGUUGCUAAAAGCAUAAUCUUCCAAACGUGACAUAUCAAAUUCAAAAAGAAAUGUUAAUUGCUUUAGACUUUACAAUCUAAAUUUUUCUUUUUUUUUUAUUAAUCUUACAAUAAUGAAAUAUGGCCACAUUUGAGAUGGGUUAGUUUUAACAAAAUUAAAGUGAGCAAUUAAGGGAGAAUUGCAAUUUUGGUCCCUAAUAUUUGGCCUAUGUGCCAAAUUGGUCCCUAAUGUUAGUUAAAACAAAUUUACUCCUCAAAAUUUAUGAUUUUAGGUAGAUUUUAGGACCACUAAUGAAAAUGGAAUGGGUGAUUAACAUCAAAGUCAACAACUUUGACUUUGCACUUUUAGUCCCCAGUGUUUUUAUUUUGAAUCAUUAUAUUUCCCUAAUUUUUAAAUAGUGAUAUUAAAGGUUUUAGCAUGAAUUAAGAUGCAAAUUAGAAUAAGAUAGUAUUAAAUAGGUAAUAACAGUUCUAGUUAAAUUUCUUUUUAUUCUAUUCCUUUAUUCCAUUUAUUCAUGUUGAUAAUAUUUCUUUUUUUUUUCUUUUGCAUAGUUAGUCUUAAAUUUGGUAUAAUAUAUGUAUAUUAUUGUUUCUCACUAUUCAUAAUUUAUUGCAAAUUACUUUUAUUAUUUUUAUUUCUAAUGAUAAUUAAAAAACUUAAUUAAAUAUCCCUUAAAAAUAUAAGGAAUAUAUACUUUUUGUAAAUUAAGUUGAUAUUUUUUAUUUUUAUUUUUUGGCAAUUUAGUAAGUUAUCAAUUGAGUUUGUGAAGUUGGCAUUUGGUACACAUUAUAUGAACCAUUAAAUGAUUAUCAAGGCACACAGAUAUUAAAGCAAAUGCUUUAAAACUACAAUAUUGGAACAUUAGUUUUUAAUGCCAGGAAAGACAACAAUAUAGUUUUCUUAAGGAUUUCUGAAAUUACUUCACAUCGAUACUUACCUUCACGAACUUUAUAAGUAAAGUGGCUAACUACAAGAAUUUGAAAUCUACAUGCACAAGUCAUGCAAUAAUUUUUGUAACAGUAACUAUAAUAAACUUAGAUUAUAAAACUAGAAUUGUCCUUUUCUUCCACUAUUUUAUGUUUCAUUUAUUAUUAGCAUAUUAUCAUUCAAUGAUAACUUAAUUUAACAAAAAUAUGCUAUUUAGUCUAUGAUCAUGUUGCGCCAACAACAAACUAUGCAAUUAUUCCCUUUGUUCCACUUUGUUAGUUUCACUUUUUAAAAAAGAUUUUUCCACACAGUUUAAAAUAAAUUAAUCAACAUCCUUCAAAGAAUAAAUUUAGUUUACCUUUUUCUUGAAUUACUCUUACAUCAACAUUAUAUGACUAAUUAAUUACCGCAACAUUUAAGACCAUUAACACAAUAGUAUUUGAUGAAUGGGCUUGGAAUGGUUGACUUUUGAUAUGCCAAUACAUUUGGCUAAAUUAAGUAUUAUACCUAUUACAAUUGAAUAAGAUAGAUCAUAUUAAUUGAUAAUUUGGGAUACAUGAAAAAGAAAAAUAAGUCUAACAAUGUGGGAAAAAGAGAGAAGAAGAAUAAUUAAAAGUGCAUGUAAGCUUGUUAUUGUCUCAUGUGGUAAUCAAGCAGUCGUUCCUGAGAACCGUCCGGAUUUGGGAACGCAUGAUACUGAAAAGGUGCAAAUCUAGUGAAUGUUUUAUGUGAAAAUCAGGUAGUCAUUCCUGAGAAUUGCCUGGAGUUGGGAAGGAUUUGCGAUGAUACAGUAGUUCGUUUGAGUGGCCGAGAAGGAGUACCUCCAACCGGCUCUCUUCAGACUCUGAGGAUGCACCGAGGGAGGUGACAGACAGGAACUCCAUGGUAUAGUCCUUAAAGUAGUUCAGUGAAUCUUUGUCGCUGCGUCUGUCCAAGCCGGAUACGGCCCAAGAUGAAGAGGGGUUCACGGUGGUGGUUUCACAGAAGUAGAAGAGAAGGAGGAAUCAUACCAAAAUUCCUCGGCAAAUUUAAACUAGACAAGCUGCUAAAGCCACGGACGGUUUGCUGUUGGUUUUGACAAUGAAUAACAUCUUAAUCUAGAAUGUUAGGGGUGCGAUGGGCAGAGCUUCUGUUUGUCGUUUAAAACUUUUAAUUCGUUUACAUGGUAUCUCUGUUUUAGUUUUAAUUGAGCCACUAGCGGAGGCGCAGAAUAUAGAGGCUAUUCGUAGAAGUUUCUCUUUUGAAUUUUGUUUAUUCAAUUCUUCCAAUAAAAUCUGGAUUCUAUGGAGGCCCGGAUUCCAUUUUCAUAUUCUAUACAAUUCUGAACAAAUGCUUCAUGUUAUGGUUGCACACGAUUCUUGGGCUCAUAUGGUGAAUGCGACUUUCGUCUAUGCAAAAUGCACGAGGGCUAAGAAACGGGUUUUGUGGUCUGAGCUGGAUUAUGUUGCUAGAACAAUCAAUCGGCCGUGGCUGGUGGGAGGGGGCAUUUUUCAUUGUUAUAGCUUCAACUACGGAAUAUGCGGGUAGAGCUCCUCAAGAUUAUUAGGGAGCUUUUUCUGCUUUUACGCAAGCAAUGCCAAGAUGUUGUCUUCAGGAGUUACCUUUCACUGGCAGUUUGUACACUUGGUGAGGGAUAAGAGCAGGGGCAAGAGUUUGGAAGAGAUUGGACAGAGAGUUGGUCAAUCAGCAAUGGUUAUACUCUCAGCAGGACACUUUGCUUCAUCACCUUAAUCGGGCUACGUCGGAUCAUUUGCCAUUGCUACUGCAUUUGCGGACUGGUACAUCAUCCUUUCCAAAGCCUUUUAAGUUUCAAUGGUUUUGCGUAUCAAGUUUUGAUUUUCUUCAAGUGGUGCGAGAUAGUUGGAGUUUGCCAGUUCAUGGAUUUGGAAUGUACUCUUUGGCAUUUAAGCUGGAGAGGCUAAAGAAUCGUUUGAAGAUUUGGAGCAAACAGCAGUUUGGUGACAUUUAACAAGCUGUAAAGCAACAUGAAUUUGGACGUUUAGCAGAAGGAAAUUCAAUAUGAAGCAGUGCCUACGGAUGAAGCAAGAAGUGCGCUCCAUUGUGCGCAAGCGCGGCUACUUUUAAGUUUGAAAAACCAGGAGGAGUUCUGGAGUCAAAAAGCUGGAGUGAAAUGGUUAAAGGAUGGUGAUUGUAAUACUAGUUUUUUCCAUGCUUCAGUUCGGGAGAAGAGGAUGAAGCUCAUGAUUCAUAAAAUCAAAGACAGUGCUGGAACUUGGAUUGAAGAUGAUGAGCAGAUUGCAGCAGAGGCUGUUAAUUUUUUCAGACACCUUUUGGCUACAGAGGAAGUUGGUGAUGUUGGCAGGUUGCUGCAAAAUAUUCCACCUCUUGUUUCUUCGGACAAUAACAUUCCAUUGCUGCAUGAGAUAACUAUGGAAGCGGUAAAAGGGGUUGUGUUUGGACUUCAUUAAGAUAGUGCCCCUGGUUUGGAUGGAUUUACUGAGUUUUUUUUCACACAUUGUUGGGAUAUUUUGGCAGAAGAUGCGUUAGCAGCGACUAGAGAUUUCAUGGCUAGAACCCCUAUCCCGAAGGGAAUUUCCAGCACUCUUAUUGUCUUAAUUCUGAAAAAAAAUUGAAUCCUUCUACAUUUGCGGACUUUCGGCCCCUUAGUUUAUGUAACUUUGUCGAUAAGAUAUUCACAAAGGUGUUGACUAACAGGUUGCGAACUUUCCUUUCCGGCCUUAUAUCACAGAAGCAAUCAGCCUUUGUUCUAGGCAGAGAUAUAUCUGAGAAUGUCCUUCUUGCGCAGGAGAUGGUGACAUUGAUUAAUAGGAAGACACGAGGCCAUAAGUGCAUUUUCAAGUUAGACAUGAUAAAGGAGUUUGAUUGGGUUUCAUGGCAGUUUCUACGGCUGUUGCCGCAAAUGUUGGGUUUUGAUAACAGAUUUAUAUUGCCCAAUAUGAAUAAUCUCUCUCAGAGCUGGUUUUCUGUACUAAUAAAUGGUUGAUCAAGGGGUUUUUUUCAAGCAUCACGUGGGAUUAAGCAGGGGGAUCCUUUGUCUCUUAUUUAUACUUGCUUCGGAAGCUCUUAGUAGGGGAUUGAAGAAGCACGUGUCGGAGGGUAGUAUUAUUCCUUCUGCAUUGCCGAGGGAAAGUUUGACUAUCACACACUUAUCCUUUGCUGAUGAUGUUGUAAUUUUUACCAGGGAGAUAGAAGAUCAGUUAGGAAUCUAAUGAGCUUUUUGGAGGUCUACCAAAAGGGGUCUAGGCAGAAGAUAGAGAAUCAGAAAAGUUUUUUUAUAACAUCGAGGGGAUGUGGUGCAGCUCAAGUACAAUUCAUUAACAAUUUGACUAGUUUUUGACAAGGUUCUUUCCCGUUCAUGUAUUGGGAUGCAAUCUCUAUCAUGGAAGGCGCAGACACAGGAUUUCUUUCAAUUUCUGGUUGAUAAGUUUGUUGCAAAAAUUGCUGGUUGGAAGAAAAAGCUUCUAUCAGAGGGUGGUCAUCUAAUUUUAUCCUCCAUUCCUUUGCAGGUUUUGUCAAUAAUGGAUCCCCCUAAAGCUGUGUCCAGGAGAUUAGAAAAGAUUAUGGCGAACUUCUUUUGGGGUGAAUAGAAUUUGCGGUGCAAAUACCAUUGGUGUGCUUGGAGGAAUUUGUCUUUUCCUACAGCUGAAGAGGGGCCCAGGUUAAGAGGCUUUGAAGGCAUACAACUUGCUUUUUGCAGGAGACUAUGGUGGAGAUUCUGAUAUGCAGGAUCCUUGCGGACUAAUUUUAUGCACUCUUGAUAUGGUGGACAUGGGAAUGCACUAGGUAGUUCCAGAGUAUGGAGACGCAUGGUCCUUGUUCAGGAGCCAUCGAGCAGUUUACUGAAGUAUUGGAUGUACAGGGAAAACAGUGGUUGGCCUGGACUUUGACGCCCUCAGGAUCGUUCAUUAUUUCGUCAUCUUGGGAUGCUUUGCGAGCUAAGCGGGUGAUUCUAGGGUCAAGAAAGUUAAUUUGGAAUCGUCGAAUCCCUUGCAAAAUUGCCAUCUUCAUGUGGAAAUUGAUGAACAGGUAUCUACCUUUCCCGAAGAUUUUGAGCAAGUUUGGUUUCCAACUUCCUUCUAAAUGCCAAAAUAUUGACUCUCUUGAUCAUGUGCUAUCAGACUGCCCUCUUGCGACAUUUGUUUGGGACUAUUUUGCUCACAUGCUUCAGCUUCCGUUAAGUGUUUUCAAUGGUAUUUGCCUAGGAUUCAGCAUUGGUGGUUUCACAGUGCCGUGUGCUCAGCAAAGGGAGAUGUGCUGAUCAUCAUGCCAUCUUUCAUUUGUUGGGAGCUCUGGAAGGCCAAAAAUCUCUCAAUCUAUGAGGGGCUUCGUGCUGUUUUGUCGGAAUGUCCAAAUGUCCAUCUUCAGCAUUUCUCAGGUUUGUCCAUUUGUGCAGAGAUCCAACAAGGAUGUGAUCUUGGUGCAUUCGGGAUUGGUGUCACAUUUGCACACGAGGAAAACUAAAGUGCCAUGCACUAUAUUUUGGACCAAACCGAUAAAUGGAUAUGUAAAGUUGAAUAUGGAUGGAUCAUCGUUAGGAAAUCCAGGGUUUUCUGGUGGCAGUGGAGUGAUCCGGGAUAUGGUUGAUAAUGUCUUAUUCGGGUUUGCAGUAUUUAUGGGUUUGCAGUAUUUUUUGGGCAUAAGAGCAUCUCCAACGCAAGUGUAAUGUCUGACAUUACACUGGGGGUAUUACACGGCCACCCAUUGCACGCAUCACGCUAAUGAUGCGUGUAAUGGGUGACCUCCACUACAAAAUUCCCAUGUGCCUAACUCACAAUUUCUAGCCAGCAACGUUCAUUCUUUCAUUUGGCCGGCAAGUUUCAUCAGGUUUUUGCAACGGUAAAUUUGCAACUCCAACGGUCAAAUUUUAGCUUUCUAUAUAAACAUACAACACUUUUUUUUUCUUCAUAUCCCACUAUUCUACUCUAUUAUGAUAUCUUCGCAUUUGAGGUAUCAAAUAUUUGUUUAAUUUUCUGCAUAAUUAUUUUUGAAAAAAAACAAUAUAUUUUUUUGAGAGAUAGAAAAAGAUAUAUUAUUCAAACUUAAAAAUUAAUAAUAUCAUUUUUAGAAAAUAAAAUAUUCAAAAGGUAAAAAAUUUAAUGAAAGUUAGUGCUUUAUUUUUUAAAAAUAACAAAAUUAUUUUUAAAAAUUACUUUAUUUAUUUAUGGGAUAUGAGUUAUGCAUUAUUAAAAUAAAUAUUUGAUUUAAUUGUGGACCUAUGCUAUUAUACCUUGUGGAGUGUAAUCCAUUGUGACUGAAAGUGUAAUAAAAGAUAAGAAAGUGGAAUGCUGACGUGACAUGUAGAUUACACUCCACAAGGUAUAAUCCAUUGUGGAUGCCCUAAGACUAAUAUGGAGGCAGAAGCUUUGGCUCUACUUGAGGGUGUGCAGCUUUGUUUGGAACAUGGUUUGCAUUAUGUACAGGUUGAUUUGGAUUCCAAAGCCUUGCAGCUUAUGAUGUUAGGUGGUUGUCAGAUUCCUUGGAAGUUAUGGCAAAACUGUAUCUCGUGUUCAAAAUCUUACAAUUGGCAAGCAUUUCACAUUCUCUCAUAUAUUUUGAGAGGCUAAUGCAGUGGUGAAUGUGCUAGCAAAUAUGACCAGUUCUUCGUCUUGCAAUCUGCGAUUUUUUGCUGCUCAAAUUCCGGUCUAUAUACGCGGCUUAGCUAAGCUUGAUCAGAAUCAUACGGCUUAUAUAAGAAUGGAUUAGGGUCACUUUGUAAGGAAGUAGUGCUCCUCAUUUAAAAUUUCUCUUUCAAGCUAUGUCUUUCCUUCUUCAAUAAAGUUGGGCUGACAUCCCAUCCCCUGCUUUGGGGUUUGCCCAAAAAAAAAAAAAAAGUGCAUGUCAGCUUAGGAAUGCUUAACUACCAUGUUGGCAACAAAAACUAAACUUUUCCAUUUCAUAUUUUAAUCAAAGUACAUACAAUCAUUUUACCUACACAACCGGUGGCCUAGUUUUAGUAUCAGCUAUACCAAACUUUAAGAUACCGCCAAUUCAAUGGCUUUCAUUGUCUGGUUGGUCAAUGAGUGGAUGAGCUAUUGUAUCUAUCGGUAGACAAGCCACUUUGUCUACACAAUAUAAGCAUCGACAGAGAGGAGACAUGAGAAGAAAGGUCAAGUUUCCCAUUUUGAGUUUUUAUGGGGAUGGAAAGGAUAAAAAUGGACAGAUAUGAGCGGAUGGCUUUUGGAGCUACAGUCAAAUAAGUGACCAAAUUGGUGAGAAAUGGAAAAGAGUUGCCAAAAUGCAACUUUUAGGCUCAAAAAUAUAGAGAAUAAGAUAGCAUUAAAUUUACCAAACCAUUUCUUUCAUCUCUUAAUCUUCAAAAGAAGAUUUAAAAACCCUCUAGUCUCUUGCUUCUCAUCUCCUAUUCUUUCUGUGUCAACAAAUUUUUCUUCUCUCACUCCCCUAAACUCCAAAACUAGCUGUACUUAUGCAUUGAUUCAUCUUAACACGUUGCCAGAACUGGGAAUCCAGUGUAAGAAAACCAAUAGCAAACAUGCCCUUUUCAGGAAUAUUGGAGCAGAAACAGUUUUGAUGAGAAAACAUCUACAAUCCCAUGGGGAAAACAAAGGCACCACCAAUUUUCCUGCUUUCAACAAUAAUAUCAAUUGAAAAGAACAAAAACUCGCACACACAGACGAACACACAAGCAAUCGAAACAUUCCUGCUCACUUUUUCUAUGCAAGUGUAAAUGAAUCUGGUAACAGGUCACAAAAAAGGGUACUUUUAUUUCUUAAUCAGGUAAUUUCACAGACAAAUGAUUGGCAGAUGGAGCUAAAGGAUACGGAAAGCCACAUAUCUAGUGGUAUCAUCAAAUAUGAUAAAAUGAAACUACUACCACGUUUGUUAGAUUGUUGAGAGCCAGGGAAGUAAGAGCUUAUAUGUACCACUUAGUGGACCAUGAAUGCAUGAAGGUAAGAUCUAAUUGAAAACUCCAAAACUCUUUUGUCACAAUCACAAAAAUUGUAUGUCUACUUAAAAAUAGACAGCGGACAUGAACUUCCCUCAACCUAAAUUCCCUCUUCAACAUGAUAAUUACUGCAAAAACAUAUAUAUAAAACAACAUCAUAUUUCCAAAAAUACUCA
Molecule: long non-coding RNA, 33300 nt
Filed under: Coffea arabica (coffee)
Lineage: Eukaryota; Viridiplantae; Streptophyta; Magnoliopsida; Gentianales; Rubiaceae
Description: long non-coding RNA (CARA_LNC002328)
Source: RNAcentral